AGUGAACGCUGGCGGUAGGCCUAACACAUGCAAGUCGAACGGCAGCACAGUAAGAGCUUGCUCUUACGGGUGGCGAGUGGCGGACGGGUGAGGAAUACAUCGGAAUCUACUUUUUCGUGGGGGAUAACGUAGGGAAACUUACGCUAAUACCGCAUACGACCUACGGGUGAAAGCAGGGGAUCUUCGGACCUUGCGCGAUUGAAUGAGCCGAUGUCGGAUUAGCUAGUUGGCGGGGUAAAGGCCCACCAAGGCGACGAUCCGUAGCUGGUCUGAGAGGAUGAUAGGCCGCAUGGGAACUGAGACACGGUCAAGACGCCUACGGGAGGCAGCAGUGGGGAAUAUUGGACAAUGGGCGGAAGCCUGAUCCAGCCAUACCGCGUGGGUGGAGGAGGCCUUCGGGUUGUAAAGCCCUUUUGUUGGGAAAGAAAAGCAGCAGGUUAAUACCCCGCUGUUCUGACGGUACCCAAAGAAUAAGCACCGGCUAACUUCGUG
Molecule: ribosomal RNA, 492 nt
Filed under: uncultured bacterium
Lineage: Bacteria
Description: partial 16S ribosomal RNA
Rfam family: Bacterial small subunit ribosomal RNA
Source: RNAcentral